RNA transcript from Arachis duranensis, 1001 nucleotides. RefSeq lists it as uncharacterized. The record is from RefSeq and is a predicted model, not a curated record. Lineage: Eukaryota; Viridiplantae; Streptophyta; Magnoliopsida; Fabales; Fabaceae. The transcript is spliced from 2 exons.
CAAUUUACGCAUUCUGGCGUCCUAACUUUGUUCUAAUUUCGUUAUGAGCAGUGCAAGCUUUACCGUCAAUCAGGAGUGGCGGAAAUGGUUUCCGCCAUGGCUGCAGGGUGGAACGCGCAGGUCAUCGUGGAGACAUGGUCGCAGGGAGGCCUCAUCGCUACUAGCGUUGGUUUAGCCAUAGCUAGGCGCCACACCGGAGGAAGACACGUCUGCAUAGUCCCCGAUGAGAGGUCCAGAUCAGAGUACGCCGCCAGCAUGGGAGAGGCGGGGAUGUUACUGGAGAUCAUGGUGGGUGAACCGGAGGAGGUGAUGGCUGAGUUGACCGGGAUAGAUUUUUUGGUCGUGGAUUCACGGCGAAAGGAUUUCCCGAGAGUUCUGAGGCUGGCGAAACUGAGCAACAAUGGUGCUGUGCUCUUGUGCAAGAACACGGGUUUUUCUCUCUCUUCCGUCAAAUGGAGGAACCUUCUGGGAGGACAUGGUUCAAGCCGUGGUGUUGUUCGUUCGGUGUUUCUUCCGGUGGGGAAGGGGCUUGACAUGGCGCAUGUCUCCUCCUCCGCCACCACCGGGGGUACUUCGGUCAAUUCACAAUCAUCAGUCAGGGGUAAUAAUGGUAAGAGAUGGAUUAAGCAUGUUGAUCAACGCUCAGGGGACGUCCACUACAUUCGAACUUGAAUUAAUUAGUUAUCAGUUAAUCACUGCUAAACCCUUUUUUAUUAUUUUUUUUCUUUCAUUUUUGUAAAUAGCAGCACGCGUGUAGUUUAGUACUGAGAAGUUAGAAGUAUGAAGUAGAUGUUAUAAGAGGAGAAACAGCAGGACCUACCUACAAUAUUCGGGUAGCAUAUCUUCAAGUUUGAACUUUGAAGCAAGUUCCCUAGUGCUGUUGAGAUGUUAGGUUAUGCUUCUCCAAUUCCAGGUUGUUUUUUCAACCAUUCAUCUAAUAUGGAUCAGAGUAUUUGAGCUUCUGUGGCUGCUACACUCAGAAACCACUAUGGUUUAGAUUU